RNAcentral lists this ribosomal RNA (465 nucleotides) under Vreelandella stevensii. RNAcentral describes it as "partial 16S ribosomal RNA". It matches the Rfam family "Bacterial small subunit ribosomal RNA", at positions 338 to 795 of the family's 1533-position model. The record is from RNAcentral. Lineage: Bacteria; Pseudomonadati; Pseudomonadota; Gammaproteobacteria; Oceanospirillales; Halomonadaceae.
CCUACGGGAGGCAGCAGUGGGGAAUAUUGGACAAUGGGGGCAACCCUGAUCCAGCCAUGCCGCGUGUGUGAAGAAGGCCCUCGGGUUGUAAAGCACUUUCAGUGAGGAAGAACGCCUGGUGGUUAAUACCCAUCAGGAAAGACAUCACUCACAGAAGAAGCACCGGCUAACUCCGUGCCAGCAGCCGCGGUAAUACGGAGGGUGCGAGCGUUAAUCGGAAUUACUGGGCGUAAAGCGCGCGUAGGUGGCUUGAUAAGCCGGUUGUGAAAGCCCCGGGCUCAACCUGGGAACGGCAUCCGGAACUGUCAAGCUAGAGUGCAGGAGAGGAAGGUAGAAUUCCCGGUGUAGCGGUGAAAUGCGUAGAGAUCGGGAGGAAUACCAGUGGCGAAGGCGGCCCUCUGGACUGACACUGACACUGAGGUGCGAAAGCGUGGGUAGCAAACAGGAUUAGAUACCCGGGUGGUC